Molecule: ribosomal RNA, 490 nt
Filed under: uncultured bacterium
Lineage: Bacteria
Description: partial 16S ribosomal RNA
Rfam family: Bacterial small subunit ribosomal RNA
Source: RNAcentral
AUUGAACGCUGGCGGCAGGCCUAACACAUGCAAGUCGAACGGUAACAGGAAGAAGCUUGCUUCUUUGCUGACGAGUGGCGGACGGGUGAGUCAUGUCUGUGAAACUGCCUGAUGGAGGGGGAUAACUACUGGAAACGGUAGCUAAUACCGCAUAACGUUGCAAGACCAAAGAGGGGGACUUUCGGGCCUCUUGCCAUCGGAUGUGCCCAGAUGGGAUUAGCUAGUAGGUGGGGUAACGGCUCACCUAGGCGACGAUCCCUAGCUGGUCUGAGAGGAUGACCAGCCACACUGGAACUGAGACACGGUCCAGACUCCUACGGGAGGCAGCAGUGGGGAAUAUUGCGCAAUGGGCGAAAGCCUGAUGCAGCCAUGCCGCGUGUAUGAAGAAGGCCUUCGGGUUGUAAAGUACUGUCAGCGGGGAGGAACAGAGUAGAGUGAAUACCUGUGCUCAUUGACGUUACCCGCAGAAGAAGCACCGGCUAACUCCGUG